GUCUAAGGCGAAUAGGCCCUGAACGCGCCCUAUCUCAUCUGAUCUCGGAAGCUAAGGCAGGGUCGGGGCCUGGUUAGGUACUUGGGUGGGAGACCGCCUGGGUAUACCGGGUGCUGUAGGCU
This 122-nucleotide ribosomal RNA is filed under the name Bison bison bison. Lineage: Eukaryota; Metazoa; Chordata; Mammalia; Artiodactyla; Bovidae. The record is from RNAcentral.